GACGAACGCUGGCGGCGUGCUUAACACAUGCAAGUCGAACGGAAAGGCCCUGCUUUUGUGGGGUGCUCGAGUGGCGAACGGGUGAGUAACACGUGAGUAACCUGCCCUUGACUUUGGGAUAACUUCAGGAAAUUGGGGCUAAUACCGGAUAGGAGCUCCUGCUGCAUGGUGGGGGUUGGAAAGUUUCGGCGGUUGGGGUUGGACUCGCGGCUUAUCAGCUUGUUGGUGGGGUAGUGGCUUACCAAGGCUUUGACGGGUAGCCGGCCUGAGAGGGUGACCGGCCACAUUGGGACUGGGAUACGGCCCAGACUCCUACGGGAGGCAGCAGUGGGGAAUAUUGCACAAUGGGCGGAAGCCUGAUGCAGCAACGCCGCGUGCGGGAUGACGGCCUUCGGGUUGUAAACCGCUUUCGCCUGUGACGAAGCGUGAGUGACGGUAAUGGGUAAAGAAGCACCGGCUAACUACGUG
Molecule: ribosomal RNA, 468 nt
Filed under: uncultured bacterium
Lineage: Bacteria
Description: partial 16S ribosomal RNA
Rfam family: Bacterial small subunit ribosomal RNA
Source: RNAcentral